UAGGUGACCUGCGGAAGGUCAUUAUCGUACAACAAGAGGCGUUCGGGGCUGUCGCUGACCCUUCAAGGUCGUGCACGCCUCUAUCGUUCUCGUUUACACAUCCACCUCACCCUUUGUGCAUCACCGCGUGGGCCCACCCUAAAAAGGUGUGGCCUGCGUUAUUUUUCACACAAACCUUUGUCGUAGUGAAUGUCUUUACUUUUGCGAUUCGCAAUCAGUACAACUUUCAACAACGGAUCUCUUGGCUCUCGCAUCGAUGAAGAACGCAGCGAAAUGCGAUACGUAAUGUGAAUUGCAGAAUUCAGUGAAUCAUCGAAUCUUUGAACGCACCUUGCACCCCUUGGCAUUCCGAGGGGUACACCCGUUUGAGUGUCGUGAAAUUCUCAACCUCCCCAAUUUCUUGGGGGAAGGCUUGGACUUUGGAGGCUUUUGCUGGUCUCUCUCUCUUUUGAAGCCAGCUCCUCUUAAAUGAAUUAGUGGGGUCCCUCUUCGCCGGUCCCUCGACGUGAUAAGAUUUCUCUACGUCCGAGGUUUGGCUUCGUAGGCUCGCUUCUAAUCAUCUUUUUUUGAACCCUUUGACCUCAAAUCGGGUGAGACUACCCGCUGAACUUAAGC
RNAcentral lists this ribosomal RNA (615 nucleotides) under Lactifluus gerardii. RNAcentral's name for it is "eukaryotic LSU rRNA". The stretch from base 222 to 375 matches the Rfam family "5.8S ribosomal RNA". The record is from RNAcentral. Lineage: Eukaryota; Fungi; Basidiomycota; Agaricomycetes; Russulales; Russulaceae.